AACAAGAUUUGAAUACCUUUGGAGAGAAGAUUUCGAGAGGAAUCCAAAUAACCAGUUGGGGAACUGGUCAGGCCACCUUGGAAGAGAUGAAUCCUUCAAAGGGAGGAGCAAAUGCUUGGGUGAAUUUUCAAAUCGCCCAAGGGGAGAGGAGGCCGGCAAUGGGGCACACGGGAGAGAUAGGCUUGGUUGAAAUGAGGAGUGAAAGGAUAUGGGAGGAUAGGAUAGAUAGUUAAAACCACGGAGGGGUAAAAGUGAAAACUUCCUGGGUGACCGGUCAGACCGGUCUAGCCAACCGGUCAGAUCAAUUGGUCCUAGGGAACAAGAGUAUGAUUUAAGAAGAUUGAUUUUGAUCCACCUCUUUCUUACACGAUUGGUUAUAGGAUUUUGGAUAGAUAAGAAUCCAAACUUGACGAGUCUUAGAGGAAUUUUUGACAAUCCAAGUAUGUCGUCACUUCUUGUUUCUUCCAAGAGAGAUGUGAGAGAAAGACACAGAAUUAUGGACUUGACUUGAUAAAAUUUCACCAGUUGUGACUAGCCAUCAAUCAAUCAAGGUGAACAAUAGUCAUAAGCGGGUCAAUUGAGUCACAAAGACCAAGAGCCAAAUAUUUUCAAGAAAAACAC
This 621-nucleotide long non-coding RNA is filed under the name Setaria viridis. Its description in RNAcentral is "long non-coding RNA (SVIR_LNC003792)". The record is from RNAcentral. Lineage: Eukaryota; Viridiplantae; Streptophyta; Magnoliopsida; Poales; Poaceae.